AGUGAACGCUGGCGGUAGGCCUAACACAUGCAAGUCGAACGGCAGCACAGUAAGAGCUUGCUCUUACGGGUGGCGAGUGGCGGACGGGUGAGGAAUACAUCGGAAUCUACUUUUUCGUGGGGGAUAACGUAGGGAAACUUACGCUAAUACCGCAUACGACCUACGGGUGAAAGCAGGGGAUCUUCGGACCUUGCGCGAUUGAAUGAGCCGAUGUCGGAUUAGCUAGUUGGCAGGGUAAAGGCCCACCAAGGCGACGAUCCGUAGCUGGUCUGAGAGGAUGAUAAGCCACACUGGAACUGAGACACGGUCCAGACUCCUACGGGAGGCAGCAGUGGGGAAUAUUGGACAAUGGGCGCAAGCCUGAUCCAGCCAUACCGCGUGGGUGAAGAAGGCCUUCGGGUUGUAAAGCCCUUUUGUUGGGAAAGAAAAGCAGCAGGUUAAUACCCAGCUGUUCUGACGGUACCCAAAGAAUAAGCACCGGCUAACUUCGUG
This 492-nucleotide ribosomal RNA is filed under the name uncultured bacterium. RNAcentral's name for it is "partial 16S ribosomal RNA". It matches the Rfam family "Bacterial small subunit ribosomal RNA", at positions 29 to 507 of the family's 1533-position model. The record is from RNAcentral.